UACGUAGGGUGCAAGCGUUGUCCGGAAUUAUUGGGCGUAAAGUGCUCGUAGGCGGUCCAUCGCGUCGGGAGUGAAAAGCUGGGGCUUAACCCCAGUCCUGCUUCCGAUACGGGUGGACUAGAGGUAGGUAGGGGAGAUCGGAAUUCCUGGUGUAGCGGUGAAAUGCGCAGAUAUCAGGAGGAACACCGGUGGCGAAGGCGGAUCUCUGGGCCUUACCUGACGCUGAGGAGCGAAAGCAUGGGGAGCAAACAGG
This 253-nucleotide ribosomal RNA is filed under the name uncultured bacterium. RNAcentral describes it as "partial 16S ribosomal RNA". It matches the Rfam family "Bacterial small subunit ribosomal RNA", at positions 524 to 776 of the family's 1533-position model. The record is from RNAcentral.